This 59-nucleotide transfer RNA is filed under the name Mesohomotoma hibisci. Its description in RNAcentral is "tRNA-His". The record is from RNAcentral. Lineage: Eukaryota; Metazoa; Arthropoda; Insecta; Hemiptera; Carsidaridae.
UAAACUAAAAUAGUUUAAUUUUUUAAAACGUUGAUUUGUGGUAUCAAAAAUUUUUUUAA